UCCGCACGUGGAAGCUCUGACCCGCCCACCACGUGGCCAGAGCCCCAAGGAAUAAAUCUCCAAGAACUCCUUGGCGUGGCCACUUCAGGACCCUUUCCUGCAGAGCAUGAAGCAAAUCGAGGUGCUGCUGGACAAG
RNAcentral lists this long non-coding RNA (136 nucleotides) under Ursus americanus (American black bear). RNAcentral describes it as "lncRNA (ENSUAMG00000025078.1)". Lineage: Eukaryota; Metazoa; Chordata; Mammalia; Carnivora; Ursidae. The record is from RNAcentral.